UGCCCAGGAGGAGUAGGAGCAGGAGCAGAAGCGGGGCCCGGAGCUGCGCGCCUACGCGGGACCUGCGUCCGAGAUGCCGGUGCGAGGAGACCGCGGGUUUCCGCCCCGGCGGGAGCUGUCAGGUUGGCUCCGAGCCCCAGGCAUGGAAGAGCUGAUAUGGGAACAGUACACUGUGACCCUGCAAAAGGAUUCCAAAAGAGGAUUUGGAAUUGCAGUGUCCGGAGGCAGAGACAACCCCCACUUUGAAAAUGGAGAAACGUCAAUUGUCAUUUCUGAUGUGCUCCCGGGUGGGCCUGCUGAUGGGCUGCUCCAAGAAAAUGACAGAGUGGUCAUGGUCAAUGGCACCCCCAUGGAGGAUGUGCUUCAUUCGUUUGCAGUUCAGCAGCUCAGAAAAAGUGGGAAGGUCGCUGCUAUUGUGGUCAAGAGGCCCCGGAAGGUCCAGGUGGCCCCGCUUCAGGCCAGCCCUUCCCUGGAUCAGGAUGACCAGGCUUUUGAGGUGAUGGACGAGUUUGAUGGCAGAAGUUUCCGGAGUGGGUACAGCGAGAGGAGCCAUGGGGGGCGCAGCCGCAGCUGGGAGGACAGCCCGGAAAGGGGGCGUCCCCACCAGCGGGCCCGGAGCCGGGAGCGGGACCUCAGCCAGGACCGGAGCCGCGGCCGGAGCCUGGAGCGAGGCCUGGACCAAGACCAUGCGCGCGCCCGAGACCGCAGCCGUGGCCGGAGCCUGGAGCGGGGCCUGGACCACGACUUUGGGCCAUCCCGGGACCGGGACCGCGACCGCAGCCGCGGCCAGAGCAUUGACCAGGACUACGAGCGGGCCUAUCACCAGGCCUACGACCCAGACUACGAGCGGGCCUACAGCCCGGAGUACAGGCGCGGGGCCCGCCACGACGCCCGCUCUUGGGGGCCCCGAAGCCGCAGCCGCGAGCACCCGCACUCACGCAGCCCCAGCCCCGAGCCGAGGGGGCGGCCGGGGCCCAUCGGGGUCCUCCUGACGAAAAGCAGAGCGAACGAAGAGUAUGGUCUCCGGCUUGGGAGUCAGAUCUUCAUAAAGGAAAUGACCCAAACGGGUCUGGCAACUAAAGAUGGCAACCUUCACGAAGGAGACAUAAUUCUCAAGAUCAAUGGGACUGUAACUGAGAACAUGUCUUUAACGGAUGCUCGAAAAUUGAUAGAAAAGUCAAGAGGAAAACUACAGCUAGUGGUGUUGAGAGACAGCCAGCAAACCCUCAUCAACAUCCCAUCGUUAAAUGACAGUGACUCAGAAAUAGAAGAUAUCUCAGAAAUAGAGUCAAACCGAUCAUUUUCUCCAGAGGAGAGACGUCAGCAGUAUUCUGAUUAUGAUUAUCAUUCUUCAAGUGAGAAGCUGAAGGAAAGGCCAAGUUCCAGGGAGGACACGCCAAGCAGAUUGUCCAGGAUGGGUGCGACGCCCACUCCCUUUAAGUCCACAGGGGAUAUUGCAGGCACAGUUGUCCCAGAGACCAACAAGGAAUCCAGAUACCAAGAGGACCCCCCAGCUCCUCAACCAAAAGCAGCCCCGAGAACUUUUCUUCGUCCUAGUCCUGAAGAUGAAGCAAUAUAUGGCCCUAAUACCAAAAUGGUAAGGUUCAAGAAGGGAGACAGCGUGGGCCUCCGGUUGGCUGGUGGCAAUGAUGUCGGGAUAUUUGUUGCUGGCAUUCAAGAAGGGACCUCGGCGGAGCAGGAGGGCCUUCAAGAAGGAGACCAGAUUCUGAAGGUGAACACGCAGGAUUUCAGAGGACUAGUGCGGGAGGAUGCCGUUCUCUACCUGUUAGAAAUCCCUAAAGGUGAAAUGGUGACCAUUUUAGCUCAGAGCCGAGCCGAUGUGUAUAGAGACAUCCUGGCUUGUGGCAGAGGGGAUUCGUUUUUUAUAAGAAGCCACUUUGAAUGUGAGAAGGAAACUCCACAGAGCCUGGCCUUCACCAGAGGGGAAGUCUUCCGAGUGGUAGACACACUGUAUGACGGCAAGCUGGGCAACUGGCUGGCUGUGAGGAUUGGGAACGAGUUGGAGAAAGGCUUAAUUCCCAACAAGAGCAGAGCUGAACAAAUGGCCAGUGUUCAAAAUGCCCAGAGAGACAACGCUGGGGACCGGGCAGAUUUCUGGAGAAUGCGUGGCCAGAGGUCUGGGGUGAAGAAGAAUGUGAGGAAAAGUCGGGAAGACCUCACAGCCGUUGUGUCUGUCAGCACCAAGUUCCCGGCUUAUGAGAGAGUUUUGCUGCGAGAAGCUGGUUUUAAGAGACCUGUGGUCUUAUUCGGCCCCAUAGCUGAUAUAGCAAUGGAAAAAUUGGCAAAUGAGUUACCUGACUUCUUUCAAACUGCUAAAACGGAACCAAAAGAUGCAGGAUCUGAGAAAUCCACUGGAGUGGUCCGGUUAAAUACCGUGAGGCAAAUUAUUGAACAGGAUAAGCAUGCACUACUGGAUGUGACUCCGAAAGCUGUGGACCUAUUGAAUUACACCCAGUGGUUCCCAAUUGUGAUUUUUUUCAACCCAGACUCCAGACAAGGUGUCAAAACCAUGAGACAAAGGUUAAAUCCAACAUCCAACAAAAGUUCUCGAAAGUUAUUUGAUCAAGCCAACAAGCUUAAAAAAACGUGUGCACACCUUUUUACAGCUACAAUCAACCUAAAUUCAGCCAAUGAUAGCUGGUUUGGCAGCUUAAAGGACACUAUUCAGCAUCAGCAAGGAGAAGCGGUUUGGGUCUCUGAAGGAAAGAUGGAAGGGAUGGAUGAUGACCCUGAAGACCGCAUGUCCUACUUAACCGCCAUGGGCGCGGACUAUCUGAGUUGCGACAGCCGCCUCAUCAGUGACUUUGAAGACACGGACGGCGAAGGAGGCGCCUACACUGACAAUGAGCUGGAUGAGCCAGCCGAGGAGCCGCUGGUGUCGUCCAUCACCCGCUCCUCAGAGCCGGUGCAGCACGAGGAGGUGAGGCGAGGCAGGCCACGGGCAGGAGCAGGAGAGCCUGGUGUUUUCCUUGCACUCUCGUGGACAGCUGUGUGUUCAGGAUGCUGUGGAAGGCAUUCCUAAGGGUUGGAGCAGAUGACUUCCAGGGAGUCUCUCGCUUUGAGUCCACGCUGGCAUGGUUGCAGUCUGUGGGAAAGUGGGACAGGCAGGUGGACUUCAGAAGAGCUUGAGGGGUCAGCACUCUGCAAACCCAUGCCCUCAGGUGUGAUGGAUAAACAGAAUGGCUUUAUGUGCCGGCUGUCCAAAUUACCAGUGGAAUAUUCCUUCCCAUGCAGUAUUGUUGUAUGUACUUGUAACCUUUGAUUAGGUUUCUCUCUGUACUCUUAGAUGUCCUUGCUUUUCUUCCCCAUCCUGCCUCUAACCUUUCUAAUCUUGCCAAAGCUCUUGAGUGUUUCCCCAUCAGUUUCCUUCUCUUAUAUUUCAGUUUUUUAAUUGAGUUCAUGAUCAAACCUCCAUCUGAUCACAUGUACUGUGCAUCCACUGUGAUUAGAUAGCUUAUGGGAUCCUUGAAAUCACAUUGACAGGCACUGUAAAGUCACAGCUAAGUUAGCAAUUAUUAGUUGCACCUCAGAGAAUGUUGGAAUAAUGAUCUUUGAAGAUGGGAUUGUUCAUAUAUUUGGAUAAUUAUUGCUGUGGAUUUCUCUCUAGCAUUUUAGCUCAUUCCAGUAAAUGAUUUUUUUCUUUAUGAAAUAGAACUACCAAAAAAAAAAAGAAAAAAAAAAC
RNAcentral lists this small RNA (3703 nucleotides) under Pongo abelii (Sumatran orangutan). Its description in RNAcentral is "retained intron". Lineage: Eukaryota; Metazoa; Chordata; Mammalia; Primates; Hominidae. The record is from RNAcentral.